Molecule: ribosomal RNA, 497 nt
Filed under: uncultured bacterium
Lineage: Bacteria
Description: partial 16S ribosomal RNA
Rfam family: Bacterial small subunit ribosomal RNA
Source: RNAcentral
GACGAACGCUGGCGGCGUGCCUAAUACAUGCAAGUAGAACGCUGAAGAGAGGAGCUUGCUCUUCUUGGAUGAGUUGCGAACGGGUGAGUAACGCGUAGGUAACCUGCCUGGUAGCGGGGGAUAACUAUUGGAAACGAUAGCUAAUACCGCAUAAAAUGGAUUAUCGCAUGAUAAUCCAUUGAAAGGUGCAAAUGCAUCACUACCAGAUGGACCUGCGUUGUAUUAGCUAGUUGGUGGGGUAACGGCUCACCAAGGCGACGAUACAUAGCCGACCUGAGAGGGUGGUCGGCCACACUGGGACUGAGACACGGCCCAGACUCCUACGGGAGGCAGCAGUAGGGAAUCUUCGGCAAUGGACGGAAGACUGACCGAGCAACGCCGCGUGAGGGAAGAAGGUUUUCGGAUCGUAAAGCUCUGUUGUAAGAGAAGAACGAGUGUGAGAGUGGAAAGUUCACACUGUGACGGUAUCUUACCAGAAAGGGACGGCUAACUACGUG